UCGACCAGAACCAGGAAACAAGAGGGGAUUUCCCUCAAACCCUAAAAUUCACCAAAAUUCAUCAAUUGAAGGUGCAAAUCGAGUCCAAAUUGAAAUCUGAAUAUAGAUUUGUGAUCACCUUGACUAAGGGAUCGUAAGGCAAUACGAGUGAGGCGUCGGGGAGUCAAGCCGGUACGGACGCUCGCUUAAAGGGAAAGCUUUAAGGCAAUACGAGUGAGGCGUCGGGGAGUCAAGCCGGUACGGACGCUCGCUUAAAGGGAAAGCUUUAAGAUUCCAAGUAAGUCAAUCAAGCGGAUGGUGAUCAACUCAAGG
This is a long non-coding RNA of Helianthus annuus (common sunflower), 312 nucleotides long. RefSeq lists it as uncharacterized. The record is from RefSeq and is a predicted model, not a curated record. The transcript has 4 exons. Lineage: Eukaryota; Viridiplantae; Streptophyta; Magnoliopsida; Asterales; Asteraceae.